This 117-nucleotide small RNA is filed under the name Pongo abelii (Sumatran orangutan). Its description in RNAcentral is "Metazoan signal recognition particle RNA (ENSPPYG00000035219.1)". It matches the Rfam family "Metazoan signal recognition particle RNA". Rfam says of the family: The signal recognition particle (SRP) is a universally conserved ribonucleoprotein. It is involved in the co-translational targeting of proteins to membranes. The eukaryotic SRP consists of a 300-nucleotide 7S RNA and six proteins: SRPs 72, 68, 54, 19, 14, and 9. The record is from Rfam by way of RNAcentral. Lineage: Eukaryota; Metazoa; Chordata; Mammalia; Primates; Hominidae.
GCUGGGUGUGGUGACUCACACCUGUAAUCCCAGCAAUUUGGGAGGCUGAGGCAGGAGGAUCACUUGAGCCCAGGAGUUUGAGACCAGCCUGGGCAACAUAGUGGGACCCUGUCUCUG